Panicum virgatum (switchgrass) is the source of this 309-nucleotide long non-coding RNA. RefSeq lists it as uncharacterized. The transcript is spliced from 2 exons. Lineage: Eukaryota; Viridiplantae; Streptophyta; Magnoliopsida; Poales; Poaceae. The record is from RefSeq and is a predicted model, not a curated record.
CUGGCAAGCCGUUAACUUCAGCCAGACAAUUAGCUCAUUCUUCUUUGCUAAUGUUUUUUCUUCUGAUGCACCACUAUCAAGGAAUACUUCACCUUUCAUGCGUCGCAAAAAGUAUGGCUUGAUCCGCUCUCUUAAUACCUUAGCUACAUUUGAGCCUAUGUGCUUCUCUCGAGUGGUAGCAUUCUUGUCAUUUCCUCGAAGGAUAGCCAUCUCAUACCUUGUUUUGAACCUGUAAUAGAGAAAUAAAUGACACGAGAUUGUGAAUUCAACCAAAUUUGAGAAUACAGGAACAAUAGAGAGUAAUUGAAU